This 254-nucleotide ribosomal RNA is filed under the name uncultured bacterium. RNAcentral's name for it is "partial 16S ribosomal RNA". It matches the Rfam family "Bacterial small subunit ribosomal RNA", at positions 524 to 776 of the family's 1533-position model. The record is from RNAcentral.
UACGUAGGGUGCGAGCGUUAAUCGGAAUUACUGGGCGUAAAGCGUGCGCAGGCGGCUUUGCAAGACAGAUGUGAAAAUCCCCGGGCUCAACCUGGGAACUGCAUUUGUGACUGCAAGGCUAGAGUACGGCAGAGGGGGAUGGAAUUCCGCGUGUAGCAGUGAAAUGCGUAGAUAUGCGGAGGAACACCAAUGGCGAAGGCAAUCCCCUGGGCCUGUACUGACGCUCAUGCACGAAAGCGUGGGGAGCAAACAGG